This 83-nucleotide transfer RNA is filed under the name Labedaea rhizosphaerae. Its description in RNAcentral is "Labedella sp. RS-49 tRNA". It matches the Rfam family "tRNA". From Rfam's summary of the family: Transfer RNA (tRNA) molecules are approximately 80 nucleotides in length. Their secondary structure includes four short double-helical elements and three loops (D, anti-codon, and T loops). Lineage: Bacteria; Bacillati; Actinomycetota; Actinomycetes; Pseudonocardiales; Pseudonocardiaceae. The record is from Rfam by way of RNAcentral.
GCCCCCGUGGCGGAACGGCAGACGCACGCGGCUCAAACCCGCGGGCCCGCACGGGCGUGCAGGUUCGACUCCUGCCGGGGGUA